AAAACUUGAGGAACCAGGAGGUCGAAAGCGGUGGAGAUCAUCAUCACAAUCACAAUUGUUCGUCGUUUCUGCAAUAGAGUGCUAGCCAUCGUCCUCCACUUCUUCUCGGUGCUUGACUUGAUUAUCAUAGCUUCUCUGCAUAGAUCAUAGCAAUGCUCGUAACUCUUCAAUUUGGAGAAUACAAUCACCAUAUUUGAUAACAACAAGUUCUUGCUGUCAUCAAAAGCUAAGAUUUAGAAGCACACCUUUAAAAAUCAAAUAAUUCCUUCUCGAUUUCUCACAAAUGAAGAUUAAUACGCAAGUACUAAAUCUCUUAAUUUUUUUUUUCCAUUAGUGUUAGUUGAAAUUGACUGAUUAGUGUCUUGAGAAUCAGGACAAGGCAUUGAGGACACCUAUUUCUGAUGUGGUUGUUCCUAAUAAUUCUCUGCUUAGAUUGGUUAAUCCUGCAACGAGGUAAACAAGCAGCCUACUAUCCCUACUAAUACUUUCUAGAUUUGAUCAUAUAUGAUAAUAAAUAAAAAAUUAAACUA
Molecule: long non-coding RNA, 530 nt
Organism: Arachis duranensis
Lineage: Eukaryota; Viridiplantae; Streptophyta; Magnoliopsida; Fabales; Fabaceae
Exons: 2
Source: RefSeq, a predicted model, not a curated record